This 72-nucleotide transfer RNA is filed under the name Streptococcus sanguinis. RNAcentral describes it as "tRNA-Lys". It matches the Rfam family "tRNA". From Rfam's summary of the family: Transfer RNA (tRNA) molecules are approximately 80 nucleotides in length. Their secondary structure includes four short double-helical elements and three loops (D, anti-codon, and T loops). Further hydrogen bonds mediate the characteristic L-shaped molecular structure. tRNAs have two regions of fundamental functional importance: the anti-codon, which is responsible for specific mRNA codon recognition, and the 3' end, to which the tRNAs corresponding amino acid is attached (by aminoacyl-tRNA synthetases). tRNAs cope with the degeneracy of the genetic code in two manners: having more than one tRNA (with a specific anti-codon) for a particular amino acid; and 'wobble' base-pairing, i.e. permitting non-standard base-pairing at the 3rd anti-codon position. The record is from RNAcentral. Lineage: Bacteria; Bacillati; Bacillota; Bacilli; Lactobacillales; Streptococcaceae.
GACUCGUUAGCUCAGUUGGUAGAGCAUUUGACUUUUAAUCAAAGGGUCACUGGUUCGAGCCCAGUAGGGUCA